Molecule: ribosomal RNA, 492 nt
Filed under: uncultured bacterium
Lineage: Bacteria
Description: partial 16S ribosomal RNA
Rfam family: Bacterial small subunit ribosomal RNA
Source: RNAcentral
AGUGAACGCUGGCGGUAGGCCUGACACAUGCAAGUCGAACGGCAGCACAGUAAGAGCUUGCUCUUACGGGUGGCGAGUGGCGGACGGGUGAGGAAUACAUCGGAAUCUACUUUUUCGUGGGGGAUAACGUAGGGAAACUUACGCUAAUACCGCAUACGACCUACGGGUGAAAGCAGGGGAUCUUCGGACCUUGCGCGAUUGAAUGAGCCGAUGUCGGAUUAGCUAGUUGGCGGGGUAAAGGCCCACCAAGGCGACGAUCCGUAGCUGGUCUGAGAGGAUGAUCAGCCACACUGGAACUGAGACACGGUCCAGACUCCUACGGGAGGCAGCAGUGGGGAAUAUUGGACAAUGGGCGCAAGCCUGAUCCAGCCAUACCGCGUGGGUGAAGAAGGCCUUCGGGUUGUAAAGCCCUUUUGUUGGGAAAGAAAAGCAGCAGGUUAAUACCCCGCUGUUCUGACGGUACCCAAGGAAUAAGCACCGGCUAACUUCGUG